CGGCGAGUGAAGAGGGAAAAGCUCAAAGUUGGAACCUGGCUGCCCUAGGCAGUCCGGAUUGUAAACUAAAGAGCGUGAUUCCAGGCAAGCCGGUUGAUCAAGUCCUUUGGAAUGAGGCGCCACUGAGGGUGAGAGCCCCGUAAGUCGACUGAGCAUUUGUCUUUUGUGUUUCGCGUUCAAAGAGUCAGGUUGUUUGGGAAUGCAGCCUAAAGCUGGUGGUAAAUCCCACCUAAAGCUAAAUACAGGCGAGAGACCGAUAGCGAACAAGUACCGUGAGGGAAAGAUGAAAAGAACUUUGAAAAGAGAGUUAAACAGUAUGUGAAAUUGCCAAGAGGGAAGCAUUUGGAGUUAGAUUGACUAGGAGUUAAUCAGCUUGGUCUUUGGACUGGGUGUACUUGACUUCUAUUGGUCUGCCAAUAGCAGUUAGUCCUAGUGGAAAAAACUAGAGGGAAGGUAGUCCUUCGGGAUGUUUAUAGACCUUUGGAAAAUACACUGGGAUUGACUGAGGAAUGCAGUAGAUGCCACUAAGGCUUCGUCUAGUGGGUGCUAGGCAAAGGUACUUGGUAUUUUCAGCUUGCUGAUGUGCUAGGUUACCCGAGUCUAGUCGCCUACUAGAA
This 617-nucleotide ribosomal RNA is filed under the name Lichtheimia ramosa. Its description in RNAcentral is "eukaryotic LSU rRNA". It matches the Rfam family "Eukaryotic large subunit ribosomal RNA", at positions 87 to 612 of the family's 3401-position model. Lineage: Eukaryota; Fungi; Mucoromycota; Mucoromycetes; Mucorales; Lichtheimiaceae. The record is from RNAcentral.